GACACACAUGCAUUCACCUCAGCCCAGCAUGAUCGUCAUUACUGUAGUUGCACACGGGAAACAUUCUGAUGCUUGGCAAUGCAAUGCAAAGCACUGUGGCAACAGAGGGAGGGAGGAUGGCAAGAUGUCAUGGUUGGGGCUGAUGAUGCUGCUAUUGAGGAAAGUUGGCUUUCAGUUGGUGUCCAGGUCUCAAGCAUCGUGAUUCAGCAGGGAUUGAGCAUGCAUCGAGAUAACGGCUCCUGUCCCCACAGCUCUGAGGUUUUUCUGAGAGGGAUCAUCUAUGAGAUAACUGACCUCUCCAACUCUCCCACCGAUGCAUGAAGCCUUGUACUCAACUUGCUGCUCAUCCAACAGGAAAAAACAAAUGGAGUGGAAACAGCUGCCACUUGUGACCUACUCUACCUGUUUCUUUGUGUCCAAAUAGUCUCACAGCUGAUUUUGACUGUUAUCCUUCAUCACUUUAUAUAUAUAUGUAUAUGCAUAUAUUUAGACAUCAGUUUUAAGUGUUGCCAUAAACCAACUUACUUGGUAGACAUCAGGUAAAACAUUAUAAUUCUCCAGACAUCAAACCGGUAACUGAAAUUGAAUUCCUGACUUUGUAACACUGUAUUUAUUUAUUCCCGUAUAACUGAAGGGGGAUUCCAUUGAUUUCCAACAUAAGUCUCUUCUCAGGUCUUGAGGAAUGCUUUGUGAAAGAUGUCAGAAAGAAGUGAACUCUGCAACUUGCUCCUAAUCUCUGUCUACAUUUACUACUUAGUUGUUGAAACAGCACUGUAGGUGUUUAGAUGUGUGGUAAGUGCGAAGAGGUUCAUUUCAGCAUCAGUACAAUCUCUGCUUUUUAAAAAACUGUCAAUCAUGUGUUUGUCUUAAAAGAUAAACAAUCCCGAAGGUAGAAUUUUCCAAAUAUCCUCAGUCUGGGUAGUCUUGGCUUGAAGCUAACUGUGCCUGUCAGCUAAAUAUGAUGAAAUUAGACUGACAAGUUUUAAAAAAAAGUUAUAGAACAAAUUAUUUCCAACACAGUUGUAUGAAAACAAGACAGCAAUUUGGCAGGAGAGGUGCAUAAAAUAUAUCAAAGUAUUUAAUUUUGAGAGUGUGUGCUAGUCUGCAUUCUCCUUACGGUCACAUUAGUUAGAAAGUCACAUUUUGGAGCUAUUUUGACUCUGCACUCCAGUUUUGAGACUAUUAAAACCACACCCUGUAUACAGAGGAUGGACAUCAGCCACUGGUUUUUGGAUCUCUGCAGAGCCUGAAGGUACACAGUACUGGGGGAAAGGCUGGAUUAACAUGUCACUAGCUGACUGUGGAGCUUGGAUAGGUGAAUUCAGAAACUAUGGCUGUCACACAGGAGCUGAUAAUAGGGAUACAAUAACUAAAGUACCAAAACACAACUUUUUGGUCUGUGUGUAAGUAUAUCAACCCUAUCAAAGGGUAAAUUAUUUGAAUUGAUGGAGGUGAAGCCUAACAGGCGUCCAAUUUAGAAUCCCUUGGGCAUGGGUGUGAUGAUGAUGAUGAUGAUUCAAACGUUAAGAAAAUUUUCACAGUGAGAAAAAAAGCCACCAUCACAAUUGUUACAAAGGGUGGGACUAGCAAAGGAAACCCAACAGUUCUUUGCAAACCUGGUUAUGGCUGCUGUGAAGCUAGACAUUUUAACGUGACUGUUUGUGAGGAUUUAAUUUAAUUUAAUUUAAUUUAAUUUAAUUUAAUUUAAUUUAAUUUAAUUUAAUUUAAUUUAAUUUAAUGUUUUUAACCCAGUCUGAGGUGGACAAUCAAAGACCCGCAAAUACUGCCACUUUUUUUAUUGGCUUACUCCUAUGAGGUCCAAGUCAAGAAAAGUCGAACUGACUUUUUCUUUUUGGAAAAACAGUAAAUGCUUUAGAUUUGUGCUGGUAACGAUGAUUAUUUCCUUUACUUCCUGUUUGUCAAGAUUUGGGACAAUUUAAAAAUAGCAAAAAUGACAUUCUGAUUUCAAAGGCUCGGGGCUUGGGUUGGGGUCAUCACCAAUUAGAAAUGACACCUUACAGGUUUAAUUUUUCAGCUUUGAACAUUACUGUUAGAUUGAAGAAUACAUAUGGCUGUAUCUCUCACUGACCUCAUUGUAGCAAUAAAUUGUAAAUCAUUUUAAGAUUCUGUUACAACAGAGAAGAAAAAAGUGUGUGAAAUAAAUUCUAGUAAUAUGUGUAGCCUAAAUAAUACAAUGCUUCUAAGCUGGAGGUCUCUUAAGACCUCUUAAGAGGCUGAAUUCAAAGAAAGUAAGAAAUAAAA
Long non-coding RNA from Oreochromis niloticus (Nile tilapia), 2262 nucleotides. RefSeq lists it as uncharacterized. The transcript has 3 exons. The record is from RefSeq and is a predicted model, not a curated record. Lineage: Eukaryota; Metazoa; Chordata; Actinopteri; Cichliformes; Cichlidae.